RNAcentral lists this ribosomal RNA (253 nucleotides) under uncultured bacterium. RNAcentral describes it as "partial 16S ribosomal RNA". It matches the Rfam family "Bacterial small subunit ribosomal RNA", at positions 524 to 776 of the family's 1533-position model. The record is from RNAcentral.
UACAGAGGUCCCAAGCGUUGUUCGGAUUCACUGGGCGUAAAGGGUGCGUAGGCGGUCGGGUAAGUCUGAUGUGAAAUCUCACAGCUUAACUGUGAAACUGCAUUGGAUACUAUCCGGCUCGAGGAAUGGAGGGGAGACUGGAAUACUUGGUGUAGCAGUGAAAUGCGUAGAUAUCAAGUGGAACACCAGUGGCGAAGGCGGCUCACUGGCCCGGUACUGACGCUGAGGUGCGAAAGCGUGGGGAGCGAACAGG